RNAcentral lists this Y RNA (99 nucleotides) under Microcebus murinus (gray mouse lemur). RNAcentral describes it as "Y RNA (ENSMICG00000020673.3)". It matches the Rfam family "Y RNA". Rfam says of the family: Y RNAs are components of the Ro ribonucleoprotein particle (Ro RNP), in association with Ro60 and La proteins. The Y RNAs and Ro60 and La proteins are well conserved, but the function of the Ro RNP is not known. In humans the RNA component can be one of four small RNAs -- hY1, hY3, hY4 and hY5. The record is from RNAcentral. Lineage: Eukaryota; Metazoa; Chordata; Mammalia; Primates; Cheirogaleidae.
GGUUGGUUUGAGUGCAGUGGUAGUUAUAACUAAUUGAUCACAAUCAGUUACAGAUUCCUUUGUUCCUUCUCUACUAUUGCUUUACUUGACCAGUGGGAA